UACGGGAAGCAGCAGUGGGGAAGUAUUGCACAAUGGGCGCAAGCCUGAUGCAGCCAUGCCGCGUGUAUGAAAAGGACCUUCGGGUUGUAAAGUACUUUCAGUCGUGAGGAAGGUGUUAAGGUUAAUAACCUUAGCAAUUGACGUUAGCGACAGAAGAAGCACCGGCUAACUCCGUGCCAGCAGCCGCGGUAAUACGGAGGGUGCGAGCGUUAAUCGGAAUUACUGGGCGUAAAGGGCACGCAGGCGGUUAAUUAAAGUUGGAUGUGAAAUCCCCGGGCUUAACCUGGGAAUGGCAUUCAAGACUGGUUAGCUAGAGUCUUGUAGAGGGGGUAGAAUUCCAUGUGUAGCGGUGAAAUGCGUAGAGAUGUGGAGGAAAUACCGGUGGCGAAAGGCGGCCCCUGGACAAAAGACUGACGCUCAUGUGCGAAAAGCGUGGGGAGCAAAACAGGGAUUAGAUACC
Molecule: ribosomal RNA, 460 nt
Filed under: uncultured bacterium
Lineage: Bacteria
Description: bacterial SSU rRNA
Rfam family: Bacterial small subunit ribosomal RNA
Source: RNAcentral